CCUCCCCCCAAAAACGCCACCUUCCUCAGCUUUUAUUGCUGAGAAGAAAAAUUAUCUCCACCCCAGCCAGACCCAGUAUGUUGUCAAAUGUGCACAGAAGCACAAAGGUCAACUUCUCUAUCUUACAUUUGAGAAGGGUCCUGCUAGUGAUAGUAAGACUGGAAAGGUAAAAAUCGGGGUAUAAUCUAGCUUCCCAACUUUUGUUGGUGAGCAAGAUGGGGAAUUAAACUUUUCUCUGACAGCAGCAGACAGGCCUCAAACCAGCUCAAACAACGAAGCAUUCAACAGAGCCACGUUAAUUACUGAGAUGAAUGUUCAGUAUCUCAUUAGUGUUUUUCAGCAUAGAACCCUGUUCCAUUUUCCAUCUGUAUUGACAAGCAUUCUUGGACUUAGCAGAUAAUUUUUUUAAUUAGGCUAAGAAGUAUUUUCUGAAAAGCCUAUCCUCAUGCUUUGAAUAUGUUUCAGACUUACUGGCUAGCCCCUGGAAGAGGCAGUAGGCAGGUCCCAUUAACUAUGUCACCCUCUUCUACAGCAGCAUUUUAAAACUUCCAAAAUCAUCUGUAGAGCUUUCCAGUGAGCAAAGAUCAAUAAAAUACUCCUGGAGAGGGAACUUGGCAGCUCUUGCUCUCCAAGAGCUUGGAGAAACAAAGGAAAGUUGCUUAGCCACUGCCCCUGGCUCUGUUUUUCUUUGAUCCAGUAUUAGCAGUCGUAAGAAAAGCUGCUUUUUUGACUACAUGUUUAGGAAUGACAAAGCUUUAUUUGUACUCGUUUGCUCAAUUGUUUUACAUAAACUCCCAACCUAAUGCGAACCCAGAGAAUAAUGCUUUUAUGCUGAAGUACUAACUGCUCCCUCUGAAAGGAUGAAACAGAUAUACAACGCUGUUAAAUGUAGAAUAAAAAAAAAAAGUUUGUGUUUUGACUAAGGGCAACGUUUUCAAUGCGAUUAAAUUGAUAAUAGCUCCUCGAGCUCUUCUGAAGUCUUCUUAAGUGGGAGUUGUAAACAAAAGCAUAAAAAUGGGAGCAAACCAGUGAAAAUUGUAUUUGAAAUUUGACAAACUUGGAGACAACCAAAUGCUGCAUAAAAACUCGCUGUCAUUUCAAACUGACGUGCAACAUUUAUUGAAGUGCUGAAAGUGCUUUCAGUGUUUGACAAAAUACAGAUAAUCCCCAUACAAUGUGCAGUCCAAAACAUGCAGAAUUCACAGGCUUCAAGUGGAGGAAGAGGAAAGACCACUGAGGGAGCUUGCCACAAAGAAGUGAAGUUUAGGAGAGGUUUGAAGAGCUGAAAGUUACUUAGUAGGGCAAGAACACCAUUUAGAAGGUCAGAGUUUACUUACUGCUCCAAAUAAUCCGUAAUAUGAAAAAACCUCACACGCUACAAUUUUUGUAAAAGUAAUUUAAUAAAUUCUGUUCUAUUUACUCUAAUGCGAGCCUGCUGAAAAAAAGUUGCCUGUUUAGAAGUUUAAAUUCCUGUUUCAUCUGGAGAUGCCAAUCUAAUCCCCACAUUGCAGAUGAGGGAGCUGAAUUUUGUAAAACUUGUAAACUAGUAGCUAAAUUGAGUCAUGUGGAUUAGAUAUGCUGUGCUCAUGACUAUAGAGGCUCCAGGAGUAACUUUUUAUUCUGGAGCGUACCAGUGGACAAGCUGACCAAUUGUAUUAUCUAUCUUUUAGACUCCUUUUGAAAUACCAGCUAUUGCUGGAAGCAAGAGAUGGGAUUUGUCAACCUGCGUGCUGACCCAGUUUGGCAACUUGGUGUUUUAUAAUCAUUUGUAUGGGCACAGAGAAAGAUUUCUGUCACUCUUUAGAGAAUGCUCAUCUGAAGCUGGCAGGGAGGAAGUUUGGCCCUAUAAUUGUUUAAAAAAAUCCAUCCCUCUCUAUAUAAUCCUUUUUUAUAAUAAUCCUUGAUUUUAUUCAAAAUAUCAUGAUAGGGCAAGCUUUUUUUAGUCCCUUACAAAGUGGGUAAGAGCAUUUCAUUAGGGCUUACUCUGCUUCUAUCUGUUUUGAUCAGAGGUGUGCUUAAAGCUCUUGCAGAUGUACUCGAUAUUUAAACCAACCAGCAGCAGGAGAGAGUGCAGCAGAGGCCACGUACGUGUCUAACUACUUACGUGGCAGUGGCAGCCAUUCCUGACACGUAACUAUUUGAGCCAGCCUUAAUAAAGAACUAGUAAGUUUACAUGAGCUGGACUUGCAUGUUGGGGUGCUCAGGCUACACACUGCCUCAACUGUGUGUCUUUUCAUGUAGUAUUUGUACAAUGUCUAAUAAUGUAUUAUUUUUCCUGAUAUUACCAUCCUGUUUGUCAGCUGGUGACACCUGAACCACCUGAUACUGCUUCCUGCAAACUAUGAACUAAUACUACAGCAGAAUUGACUGGAUUUCAAAAUCAUUAGAAUUAAACAAACUGCAUUCCACAGCUGUAUUAUAAAAAGCUUGAUUUGUUUUAAAAUCAAAACAGAAAGUUCCCCUGGAAGAACCAUGAAGGAAAUUGUUAUCAGUCAUCUUUCAGUCUCAGUUUUAACUAGCUGAUCAUUUUUGCUCCCAGUUUGGCAAAUUCACAACUAUGCUCUGAAAGCACAGCUCUGCCUCAGAUAAAUGAGGUGUGGGACUGCUCCACUGUACCUUUAUUUAUGCAUUUGGCACUACAGGAUCUCUACUCUCCUCCUCUUGUAAACAACAUUGCUACAUUUUGGUGAAAGACGAGAAAGAGCCGCUUUUUUUUCUUUUUCUCACGAAUGCACAGUGCUCCAAUAUAUAGUUUCUGUUGCCUUUCACAUCUUUAUAUUGUGGCACCCUACUUUCUAUGAAGGGAUAUAGCUGAAUUCACCAAAAAGGCUGCAGAGCUUUGUGAUCUGCUAGGGUAUGACACAGCACUAGAAGAACAGAACAGGUAGGUAAAAAUGGUAUGGGAUACAGAAGGAAAAAAACAAGAGACACAGAAGGUUUGGAGAAGGUAUGAUAAUAAGAAUAGACUAAUACCAGGACUAGUGCAGCUCUCCAAAAUACAUGCAAGAUGCAACUAAUUUAGGAAACAUCAGAUACGCUUGCUGUCAUAUUUCUGUAAAUUCAGGAAUUUUCAUAUACUUCAUGAAAAUAACUUCCAUUUAUUCAGUUUCACCAUGUGAAAAUAACCUAAACUUUUGCUAUAAACCAGGCUCUUUUUUUGGAGUAUAUGAAUUCCCGUAAAAGUUUUCAAUUCCAUGUUUUACAAAUCAAAAUCCCACAUACAGCAAGUAUUUCACAACCUGCAAGAAUCAGUGUUGUACGGUAGCAAGUUAGUAAUUUAUACUUUCAGUAAGCUAAAGCAGUAAUCCAGCAGAGUUAUGUGAAGAACUGCAGUAUACUUGGUAGUGGAUGACAAUAAUGAAAGGACAAUCCAAUGGCAGCGUGAUGGAUUAGUAGAUUAUUUGUGAUUUCUGUCCAAAUCUCUACUAUUCUUACAAAAAUAUUUUUUCAUCCUUCUCACCCGUUUUCUCUCCUGCUCGUGCCCCAAGAAGCAGCUGAGUUGAAAUUUUGUAAUGAAAACCUCUUUCAAGAUGGUAUCCAGCUAUGUUUUCCCAAACGGAACCAUGCAGCAGAAUUCAUCAGAUGAGAAAGCCUUAUUCUAGCAAAGUGAUGAUCACAUCAUCAUCUUUUCCUUGCCAAAGCAUUUCACCUUCAAAAUGAACCAGACCAUGUUUUCUGGCUCUUAACAAGAUUCCCACUACCUUAUUAGAAAUAGUCACGUAUGUUUCAAACAGCUGCCCGAAUGUCACACUCACAUGUCCAUCUUCUCCCACCUCUCCAGUGCUUCUAAUGAUCAAGCACAGCUCUUCCACUUCCUUUCCCACGUGUGAGUGAGCAUCUUUCCCCCUCUGCUCUGUCUGAGACCCUUCAGGGGGUCUCCCGUAGGUAGGAUCUCCUCUGUGAGCAUGCACGGGUUUAGAUGCAAGCCUGUUGUCGUUGCUGAAUGGGUUCUUUCUCUGAUAUUCAAUGUGAUCCUCUGCCCAGGUCUGCCAACUUUUCCUCAAGUCACCCACUGCACUGGUAGCUUUAGCACUCUGCCCUUUAUCUUCUUCCAUUUCUUGAAAAUGUUUUAUGGCACUCAAGCAGGAAACAAAUCAAUGACUGGUUGUAACUGUGGUUCCUGGGUGCACUGUCAGCUGUGAAGGAAAAACAACAAAUCACCCUUGUGAUAAUUUUUGGAAGAGUUUUGCCUGAGUGAGAGGCAAAGCUGCUGAAAAAGAUGUUAAAUAUCUGAAGAUUUUGUUAAGUCCACCCAUAAUCCUACAGCACUGAAGAAAGUAAAAGUGAUUCAGCUGAAAUUCAGAAGUCAUUUUGUAACCCAGGGCAGUAAGUUAUGCUUACAAGGUUACACGGCGUACCACCGGUCCCGCAGCUACCGUACAUACCCCGCGGCCUCCGUGCGACACAAACGUGGUGCAGUACUUACUCUUCAUGCAAUGACACCUUUUAAAGAACUUUAUCCUUACAGCCAGCAGCCCCGCAGACUUCCC
Molecule: long non-coding RNA, 4490 nt
Organism: Harpia harpyja (harpy eagle)
Lineage: Eukaryota; Metazoa; Chordata; Aves; Accipitriformes; Accipitridae
Exons: 2
Source: RefSeq, a predicted model, not a curated record